Molecule: non-coding RNA, 1124 nt
Organism: Odocoileus virginianus texanus
Lineage: Eukaryota; Metazoa; Chordata; Mammalia; Artiodactyla; Cervidae
Source: RefSeq, a predicted model, not a curated record
UAUCCAACCAUCUCAUCCUCUGUUGUCCCCGUCUCUUGCCUUCAAUCUUUCCCAGCAUCAGUUAAAAAAUCAUACACACACUACCUAGAAUACUUUAUUCUCUAAAGCUCAUUCCUGCUGUUUAAAAGUGUCACCAUGUUAAGGAAUGAAAAAUUACAGCGACUAGGGAAAAGUUUUCACCUUUUUUCAUUUCCCCAGUAAAAUUAAGCAAUAAUUUUCAUUCCCCUCAGCUCCUUUUGUAAUCAAGGCUAACAAUGGAUUAAAGGGCAAAUAAAUGAAUGAACAAGUCUAUGGUGUUUCUUUCUUCUGCCUCAGAAAGAUGCAGCUUCCCUUGCUGGCAGGAGAUACAGGUUUAAACUGAGUGAGGAAAACACAGCAUCUGAAGACACAGACUGGCAAGUUGAGAACUUUGUCUCCUCCAAAGCCAGGUAGCUUGCUUUUUCCCUGUGGCCAGGACUCCUGCUGACACUUCCAGCCGUCCUCAGCAAAGCCAUUGGGCUACCCUUGGGUUAGUGAAUGAGAACUCUCUGGACAGCGAAGACUGGUGGAGGUCCAGCUGGAAAAACAUAUGGCCGCAGAGGCAGAAAGCGCUUCUUCAGGCUUGUGAGUUGUAUAAAAAAUGUCUGCAGGCUCAAGGCAGCCCUUACAACCUAAGAUCUUACUAAGCAUGAUGGAUGUCCGUACUUCUAGGACUGCCUCCAAUGUACCUGGACCGAAGCCAGUGCUGCAUCCUCAGGCGCCCCCAGGGAUGGUGUGUGCAGGACGGCACCACCUCACAGCCCCCUCUGAGGUCAGGAUUCCACGCCCGCUCCCUGCCUCCCUCCCACUCUCCACUCCCCUACCCUCGGCGGAGCCCAGUAGAUGGCAGCCCCUUGUGCCUUCUGAAAGAAAACGAAGUUUGCAAAUCUCUGUAGACUGUCUUAUAAUAGGUAGGUCAGGAGGGAAAAUGACUAUGGUAAAUUCUCCUCUUAACCACACAUGACCUCAGCGCAUUUUUGAGCUGCACAGUGACACAGAAUGAACUGAAGGAGAAAAGCCAGGCAGGCUGGGUUCCAGACCAGGACACUGCAAGGAGCUGACUUUUACAGGCUCUUCGGUCUGUGGAAUUUUCCAGGCAAGAAUAC